Molecule: non-coding RNA, 876 nt
Organism: Pelobates cultripes (western spadefoot toad)
Lineage: Eukaryota; Metazoa; Chordata; Amphibia; Anura; Pelobatidae
Source: the annotation of a GenBank genome assembly
UAAAAAGUCAAGCUCUUCAGUUAUGGUGUCUUCAUGGAAUUGUUUUUUUUUGGGAUUUUUUUUCCUUCUGUAUUUUUCUAGCCAUUGUACAUUAUUGUAACUGUAUUAAAUAUUUAUUACAUGUAAACUUUUUGUCUGCAUCUAGUUGUGCAUGCAGAAGGGCAUCUAAAGUACACUGAUAAUAUGAGUAUAUAAUUGUAUCAGAUUUGUAUGUUUUUUCUGCUCAUGGAGCUGCACAUUUUACCCCAUGUCCAUAUCAUUACACCUCUUGCAAACCUUUUGCAAUGCUAUGUUUAAUGCUAAUAUUAAUUACCUGUUUAUUUUUCAUUUUUCCUCCAAAUUCCACCGUUAAGUAUUACAGUCCCAUGAAAAUCUCUUCUUGAGCAUAUUUUUUAAACCGUUUUGCUAAUAAGUAAAUAUUUUCAUGUAAUCCAGCUUUUUUUUAACCAUCACGAAGGGUCUGGUUUUAUUGUGGAGGUGGCCAUUUUGCAUUUCCAUGAUUGAACGCCCUCAGUGACCAAUAGGGAUUGAAAAACAAGACUACGUGGAGAAUAUGUCGGCAGUCAGAUCUGAUUUUCAGUUUCGCUCGUAGCAUUCAAAUAUGCAGAAAAUGUACCCUCUGCACUGGUCUCAUUAUGCCUAUAGUUAUGUGCAAGUCUUUGGGUUUUUCUAAAAAUUAUAUAUAAUUUUCAGAUAAUGACAGCUUCUUUGUAUGUGUUGAUUGCUAAUCUCUUCUACACUCUUGCAUUAGUCUUGCCAAGUGUUGUGAGAUCUGUUGUCCAAUAUAUAAAGUUCCAAAGGAUAAUUUUGAUUCAUUAUAGAGGGACCUUUUAAAUAAAUUUUUUUUAGAAAAUCAUAUCUACAGAUUCCUUGUUU